RNAcentral lists this small nuclear RNA (106 nucleotides) under Carlito syrichta (Philippine tarsier). The record is from RNAcentral. Lineage: Eukaryota; Metazoa; Chordata; Mammalia; Primates; Tarsiidae.
GUAAUCUCUUCAGCAGCACAUAUACUAAAACUGGAAGAUACAGAGAAGAUUAGCAUGACCCCUGUGCAAAACUGACACACAAAUUCAUGAAACAUUCCAUAUUUUU